Molecule: ribosomal RNA, 440 nt
Filed under: uncultured bacterium
Lineage: Bacteria
Description: partial 16S ribosomal RNA
Rfam family: Bacterial small subunit ribosomal RNA
Source: RNAcentral
CCUACGGGGGGCUGCAGUGAGGAAUAUUGGGCAAUGGGGGCAACCCUGACCCAGCCAUGCCGCGUGAGUGAAGAAGGUCUUCGGAUUGUACAGCUCUUUCGGACGUGACGAUGAUGACGGUAGCGUCUAAAGAAGCACCGGCAAACUUCGGGCCAGCAGCCGCGGCAAUACGAAGGGUGCGAGCGUUGUACGGAAUUACUGGGCGUAAAGGGAGUGUAGGCGGAUAUGUAAGAUAGCGGUGAAAUGCCGGGGCUCAACCCCGGAACUGCCAUUAUGACUAUGUAUCUAGAGUAAUGGAGAGGAUAGCGGAAUACCCAGUGUAGAGGUGAAAUUCGUAGAUAUUGGGUAGAACACCGGUGGCGAAGGCGGCUAUCUGGACUGUAAAUGACGCUGAGGCUCGAAAGCGUGGGGAGCAAACAGGAUUAGAUACCCGAGUAGUC